UGAGGAAUUUUGCGCAAUGGCCGCAAGGCUGACGCAGCAACGCCGCGUGGGUGAAGAAGGCCUUCGGGUCGUAAAGCCCUGUCAGGUGGGAAGAACGACCGGGAAGUGAAUAGCUUUCCGGUGUGGCGGUACCACCAGAGGAAGCACCGGCUAACUCCGUGCCAGCAGCCGCGGUAAUACGGAGGGUGCGAGCGUUAUUCGGAAUUACUGGGCGUAAAGCGCGUGCAGGCGGGCGGGCAAGUCUGAUGUGAAAGCCCCGGGCUUAACCUGGGAAGUGCAUUGGAAACUGCUCGUCUUGAGUACUGGAGAGGAAGGGGGAAUUCCCGGUGUAGAGGUGAAAUUCGUAGAGAUCGGGAGGAAUACCAGUGGCGAAGGCGCCCUUCUGGACGGUAACUGACGCUGAGACGCGAAAGCGUGGGGAGCAAACA
RNAcentral lists this ribosomal RNA (428 nucleotides) under uncultured bacterium. Its description in RNAcentral is "bacterial SSU rRNA". It matches the Rfam family "Bacterial small subunit ribosomal RNA", at positions 355 to 774 of the family's 1533-position model. The record is from RNAcentral.